UACGUAGGGGGCAAGCGUUAUCCGGAUUUACUGGGUGUAAAGGGAGUGUAGGCGGUCUGGCAAGUCUGAUGUGAAACUCCGCAGCUCAACUGCGGAACUGCAUUGGAAACUGUCAGACUAGAGUGCAGGAGAGGAAAGUGGAAUUCCUAGUGUAGCGGUGAAAUGCGUAGAUAUUAGGAAGAACACCAGUGGCGAAGGCGGCUUUCUGGACUGUAACUGACGCUGAGGCUCGAAAGCGUGGGGAGCAAAC
Molecule: ribosomal RNA, 250 nt
Filed under: uncultured prokaryote
Description: partial 16S ribosomal RNA
Rfam family: Bacterial small subunit ribosomal RNA
Source: RNAcentral